CCUACGGGCGGCAGCAGUGAGGAAUAUUGGUCAAUGGACGCAAGUCUGAACCAGCCAUGCCGCGUGCAGGAAGACGGCUCUAUGAGUUGUAAACUGCUUUUGUACGAGGGUAAACGCAGAUACGCGUAUCUGUCUGAAAGUAUCGUACGAAUAAGGAUCGGGUAACUCCGUGCCAGCAGCCGCGGUAAUACGGAGGAUUCAAGCGUUAUCAGGAUUUAUUGGGUUUAAAGGGUGCGUAGGCGGUCGGAUAAGUUAGAGGUGAAAUCCCGAGGCUCAACUUCGGAAUUGCCUCUGAUACUGUUAGGCUAGAGAGUAGGUGCGGUAGGCGGAAUGUAAGGUGUAGCGGUGAAAUGCUUAGAGAUCAUACAGAACACCGAUUGCGAAGGCAGCUUACCAAGCUACUUCUGACGUUGAGGCACGAAAGCGUGGGGAGCAAACAGGAUUAGAUACCCCAGUAGUC
RNAcentral lists this ribosomal RNA (460 nucleotides) under uncultured bacterium. RNAcentral describes it as "partial 16S ribosomal RNA". It matches the Rfam family "Bacterial small subunit ribosomal RNA", at positions 338 to 795 of the family's 1533-position model. The record is from RNAcentral.